This 648-nucleotide ribosomal RNA is filed under the name Salmonella enterica subsp. enterica serovar Oslo. RNAcentral describes it as "partial 23S ribosomal RNA". It matches the Rfam family "Bacterial large subunit ribosomal RNA", at positions 338 to 843 of the family's 2925-position model. The record is from RNAcentral. Lineage: Bacteria; Pseudomonadati; Pseudomonadota; Gammaproteobacteria; Enterobacterales; Enterobacteriaceae.
CCCCCCCCCCCCCCCCCCCCCCCCCCCCCCCCCCCCCCCCCCCCCCCCCCCCCCCCCCCCCCCCCCCCCCCCCCCCCCCCCCCCCCCCCCCCCCCCCCCCCCCCCCCAUUUUCACGCCCAAGACGGCAUACGAGAUCGCUCAGUGUCUCGUGGGCUCGGAGAUGUGUAUAAGAGACAGGCCCCGUACACAAAAGUGCAUGUGCUGUGAGCUCGAUGAGUAGGGCGGGACACGUGGUAUCCUGUCUGAAUAUGGGGGGACCAUCCUCCAAGGCUAAAUACUCCUGACUGACCGAUAGUGAACCAGUACCGUGAGGGAAAGGCGAAAAGAACCCCGGCGAGGGGAGUGAAAAAGAACCUGAAACCGUGUACGUACAAGCAGUGGGAGCACAGGUUUACCUGUGUGACUGCGUACCUUUUGUAUAAUGGGUCAGCGACUUAUAUUCUGUAGCAAGGUUAACCGUAUAGGGGAGCCGUAGGGAAACCGAGUCUAAACCGUGCGUUAAGUUGCAGGGUAUAUACCCGAAACCCGGUGAUCUAGCAAUGUGCAGGUUGAAGGGUGGGUAACACUAACUGGAGGACCGAACCGACACUAGUUGAAAUAUUAGCGGAUGACCUGUGGCUGGGGGUGAAAGGCCAAUCAAACCGGGA